Molecule: non-coding RNA, 1184 nt
Organism: Nicotiana tabacum (common tobacco)
Lineage: Eukaryota; Viridiplantae; Streptophyta; Magnoliopsida; Solanales; Solanaceae
Source: RefSeq, a predicted model, not a curated record
AAAGAAUUCUUUCCAUUCACUCUUAAUGGAUUCUCUCAUCUUUGUCACUCUCUCAACUAAAUAACACACACACAGAAACGAAAAGGGGGAACUGGAGGCCAAACAAAAACCUAGCAGCUUCAUUCUUCUUCACCAUUUUUUUUAUACAAGAAUACUUCAUCUUCCUCACUUAGCUUCACCAUAAAAAUCACUGUUCACUUUUAAAAUUCAGCAAUGAAAUGCAGUUGAAUCACCAGCAAAAUACACCGCAAAUAGCCCCAAAAACCAGCAGCUCGGAUCCAGUCCAAAACGUCACACAAAACAGCAAAAAUUCGAGCUCAAAACAGCCUCAAAACUCAUGUAAAACUCCAUUAAAGUUAGCCACAAACCACCAGCAAAAAGGACCUCCAAACCCAGUUUCAUCUCCACCCCAAAACACCCCAUAAAACACCUCAAAAUUCAGCAAAACAGCUGCAAAAUUGCUGAAGAAGGCUGUCAAAAACUGACCUGAAACAUCCCCAAAAUCACUCCAAAACCCAGCUGAAAAUCAGCCAAAUUCCAGUCCCAAACCGGAGCAAAAUGGCCAAAAAUGCAGCCAAAAAUAGCCGCAAAUCAGCUGCCGAUAACUGCCAAAAAGAUCCCCAAAAAACAAUGAAAUCGGCCGAAAAACCAGCUGAAACAACCACCCAAAACUAGCUGGAACGAAGCACCAAACUACCCCAAAAAUAGUCCUCAUCGCAUCAUAUUUGUCGAUAAGCAGAGCUUCGUUUCAACUAGGUAAGACCACCCACGUUUAGUCGAGUUUUUUUUGGAGUCGAGUUCGAGGCUUCUGGAGCGGGUUUCGAUUUGUGGUUCCUUUGGUGCGAGAAUUCGGGAGUUUCCUUUGCUCAUGUAAUUGAAGAAGUUUUCAUCUACACAAAGAUCCAAAUACUUUUAAUCGUGUUGGUUUGAGAGUAGUGUCUGCGCGGCUGGAGACUUCAAGGUAUACCUACUUGGUGUUCACAUGCCUCGGAGUCACCUUCGGAUAUUAUCUUUAAUGUUGUUUAUCUUUAUUUCAAAACAGUAUUGUAUUUAGAAAUUCUAGUGUAUGUCAGUAGAGCUUAUGACUCUGUACUACCUAGUCUUGGGGAUUUGUAGUGAUUAUCGCCGUGUUGGCAUGUAUCACCUUUAAACUUCUCAUUUAUAUUAAUUCCUGCUUCAUAUUA